This is a long non-coding RNA of Poecilia latipinna (sailfin molly), 708 nucleotides long. RefSeq lists it as uncharacterized. Lineage: Eukaryota; Metazoa; Chordata; Actinopteri; Cyprinodontiformes; Poeciliidae. The transcript is spliced from 3 exons. The record is from RefSeq and is a predicted model, not a curated record.
CCUGUUCAGAAUGAACUUUAAAUCGGGUUGCUAUGGAAACCCAAUUUGCUGCAGAGCUGCUGCAUCACCUGCUGCUCCCAGUUAGCUUCAGCAACUGGUAUUGGCUGGUUCUGGGUGGAGUUUUGUUUAAUGUGUCUAAAACACGUCACAGAUAUUUAACUAACAUUCCAGAAAAUAUCACCCUGUGGAUAAACAACAUCAUGGCUCCAUGAAGCUAAAUAUGUCCUGAAUGUCCUUGAACGCAUCAUGGCUGGAAGAGAAACUCAGGUGUUAAAGAAGGGAGGGGUUUAUGUUUGACAGGUAGCAGGAAGAGAAGAGAAGCUCUGAAGAACGAGUGAAUUAAAUCAAGUCUAUCAGAGUUGAAGCUUUAAGGAAAUGCGGUCAGAACGUUCCAGCAGCUUCAGCCUCUCAGACCUGGAACCGGAUCCAGUUCUGACCUGAAAACGGCAUCACGGAGGAGUGGACAAGUCAAAGUUAUCAAGUUUAUUAGCAAAACACAUUACAGCAACAGGUCAGUUUAAAGUUUUACAUAAUGAAUGAAAAAUCAACAUUACAAUGGAAAAAUAAAGAAAAGAGAUGAAAAGUUAUAAUCCAGAACAAAGUAAAAAAAUGUUUUAGUUAUUAUAAAUCAAACCCAUAAACAGGCUAAAGGUUUUUAGUCUAGAUUCAAAGGAUGUCAGUUUUACAGUUUUCUGGAAGUUUGUUCCA